This 497-nucleotide ribosomal RNA is filed under the name uncultured bacterium. RNAcentral describes it as "partial 16S ribosomal RNA". It matches the Rfam family "Bacterial small subunit ribosomal RNA", at positions 28 to 507 of the family's 1533-position model. The record is from RNAcentral.
GAUGAACGCUGGCGGCGUGCCUAAUACAUGCAAGUCGAGCGAACAGACGAGGAGCUUGCUCCUCUGACGUUAGCGGCGGACGGGUGAGUAACACGUGGAUAACCUACCUAUAAGACUGGGAUAACUUCGGGAAACCGGAGCUAAUACCGGAUAAUAUAUUGAACCGCAUGGUUCAAUAGUGAAAGACGGUUUUGCUGUCACUUAUAGAUGGAUCCGCGUCGCAUUAGCUAGUUGGUAAGGUAACGGCUUACCAAGGCAACGAUGCGUAGCCGACCUGAGAGGGUGAUCGGCCACACUGGAACUGAGACACGGUCCAGACUCCUACGGGAGGCAGCAGUAGGGAAUCUUCCGCAAUGGGCGAAAGCCUGACGGAGCAACGCCGCGUGAGUGAUGAAGGUCUUCGGAUCGUAAAACUCUGCUAUUAGGGAAGAACAAAUGUGUAAGUAACUAUGCACGUCUUGACGGUACCUAAUCAGAAAGCCACGGCUAACUACGUG